GAUGAACGCUGGCGGCGUGCCUAAUACAUGCAAGUCGAGCGAACGGACGAGAAGCUUGCUUUUCUUAUGUUAGCGGCGGACGGGUGAGUAACACGUAGAUAACCUACCUAUAAGACUGGGAUAACUUCGGGAAACCGGAGCUAAUACCGGAUAAUAUUUUGAACCGCAUGGUUCAAAAGUGAAAGACGGUCUUGCUGUCACUUAUAGAUGGAUCCGCGCUGCAUUAGCUAGUUGGUAAGGUAACGGCUUACCAAGGCAACGAUGCAUAGCCGACCUGAGAGGGUGAUCGGCCACACUGGAACUGAGACACGGUCCAGACUCCUACGGGAGGCAGCAGUAGGGAAUCUUCCGCAAUGGGCGAAAGCCUGACGGAGCAACGCCGCGUGAGUGAUGAAGGUCUUCGGAUCGUAAAACUCUGUUAUUAGGGAAGAACAUAUGUGUAAGUAACUGUGCACAUCUUGACGGUACCUAAUCAGAAAGCCACGGCUAACUACGUG
RNAcentral lists this ribosomal RNA (497 nucleotides) under uncultured bacterium. RNAcentral describes it as "partial 16S ribosomal RNA". It matches the Rfam family "Bacterial small subunit ribosomal RNA", at positions 28 to 507 of the family's 1533-position model. The record is from RNAcentral.